This 552-nucleotide ribosomal RNA is filed under the name Triticum aestivum (bread wheat). RNAcentral's name for it is "partial small subunit ribosomal RNA". The record is from RNAcentral. Lineage: Eukaryota; Viridiplantae; Streptophyta; Magnoliopsida; Poales; Poaceae.
AUGGACGCCACAAAGACAGCAGCCAAGGCUGUGGCGGCAGGCAACGGCGACGCAGACGCCGCGCCGUCGACCCGGCGGACGGCGGCGCCGAGGCCAGUACCUCGGCGGGACGAACCGCUGGCAGGAGAAGGCGGGGCUGCGGCCGACCCGGCGCCUGCGACGGCAACAACAGGCGCUACUGUUGCGGAGAGCGGCGUGGAGGACGAGCAGGUGGAGAGGUUCUACGCGCUGUUGGCCAACAUCCGGGCCAUGAGGGGCAUGAACGAGAGCGGGGGCGACGACGCCGGCGCGAGCACGGAGGGUGCCAGCGAGGUCUGCGGCGGCGGGAGGAAGCGCGCGCGCUGGGCAGAGCCGCCGUGGAGGCCGGCUUUCAGGCUGGAGGACUUCCAGGACGCCAGCGCGUCCAAGAAGGACAUGAAUGACGACGGUGCCGCCAGCCAUCGGCGGCCGGGCAAGGAGACCAAGGACGAAGCGGCGGAUGGCGGGAAGGAGGACGACGUGGCACGGAAUGGCCGUGGAGUCGUCACGCCGUCGUCAGAGAGGAAAGUUUGA